GUGAAUCAUCAAAUUUUUGAACGCAAAUUGCACUCUCUUCGGAGAGUAUGCCUGUUUGAGGGUCAGCCUAUAAAAAAUCGACAUCGUUGCUGUUUCGCGGUGACGUUCGUCGGAAAUUGGGUCAUCUUAAAUCCUUUUGGCUUUAAGUGACUUAAAAUUUUCUAUUUGGUUCCAUGAACGUUUCUAAGAUUUAUUUCUUUACACGUAUAAGGUAUCGAUUUUUACUAGACGUGACUAUCAUAUCGGAUCGCGUCCAUAAUUUUUUAUUAAAUGACCUUAGACAGGUAAGG
This 290-nucleotide unclassified non-coding RNA is filed under the name Glomus sp. RNAcentral describes it as "partial contains 5.8S ribosomal RNA and internal transcribed spacer 2". The stretch from base 1 to 65 matches the Rfam family "5.8S ribosomal RNA", at positions 84 to 154 of the family's 154-position model. The record is from RNAcentral. Lineage: Eukaryota; Fungi; Glomeromycota; Glomeromycetes; Glomerales; Glomeraceae.